RNAcentral lists this ribosomal RNA (1286 nucleotides) under 'Dendrocalamus stocksii' aster yellows phytoplasma. RNAcentral's name for it is "bacterial SSU rRNA". It matches the Rfam family "Bacterial small subunit ribosomal RNA", at positions 157 to 1443 of the family's 1533-position model. The record is from RNAcentral. Lineage: Bacteria; Bacillati; Mycoplasmatota; Mollicutes; Acholeplasmatales; Acholeplasmataceae.
CGACUGCUAAGACUGGAUAGGAGACAAGAAGGCAUCUUCUUGUUUUUAAAAGACCUAGCAAUAGGUAUGCUUAGGGAGGAGCUUGCGUCACAUUAGUUAGUUGGUGGGGUAAAGGCCUACCAAGACUAUGAUGUGUAGCCGGGCUGAGAGGUUGAACGGCCACAUUGGGACUGAGACACGGCCCAAACUCCUACGGGAGGCAGCAGUAGGGAAUUUUCGGCAAUGGAGGAAACUCUGACCGAGCAACGCCGCGUGAACGAUGAAGUAUUUCGGUACGUAAAGUUCUUUUAUUAGGGAAGAAUAAAUGAUGGAAAAAUCAUUCUGACGGUACCUAAUGAAUAAGCCCCGGCUAACUAUGUGCCAGCAGCCGCGGUAAUACAUAGGGGGCAAGCGUUAUCCGGAAUUAUUGGGCGUAAAGGGUGCGUAGGCGGUUAAAUAAGUUUAUGGUCUAAGUGCAAUGCUCAACAUUGUGAUGCUAUAAAAACUGUUUAGCUAGAGUAAGAUAGAGGCAAGUGGAAUUCCAUGUGUAGUGGUAAAAUGCGUAAAUAUAUGGAGGAACACCAGUAGCGAAGGCGGCUUGCUGGGUCUUUACUGACGCUGAGGCACGAAAGCGUGGGGAGCAAACAGGAUUAGAUACCCUGGUAGUCCACGCCGUAAACGAUGAGUACUAAACGUUGGGUAAAACCAGUGUUGAAGUUAACACAUUAAGUACUCCGCCUGAGUAGUACGUACGCAAGUAUGAAACUUAAAGGAAUUGACGGGACUCCGCACAAGCGGUGGAUCAUGUUGUUUAAUUCGAAGGUACCCGAAAAACCUCACCAGGUCUUGACAUGCUUCUGCAAAGCUGUAGAAACACAGUGGAGGUUAUCAGUUGCACAGGUGGUGCAUGGUUGUCGUCAGCUCGUGUCGUGAGAUGUUGGGUUAAGUCCCGCAACGAGCGCAACCCUUAUUGUUAGUUACCAGCACGUAAUGGUGGGGACUUUAGCAAGACUGCCAGUGAUAAAUUGGAGGAAGGUGGGGACGACGUCAAAUCAUCAUGCCCCUUAUGACCUGGGCUACAAACGUGAUACAAUGGCUGUUACAAAGGGUAGCUGAAGCGCAAGUUUUUGGCGAAUCUCAAAAAAACAGUCUCAGUUCGGAUUGAAGUCUGCAACUCGACUUCAUGAAGUUGGAAUCGCUAGUAAUCGCGAAUCAGCAUGUCGCGGUGAAUACGUUCUCGGGGUUUGUACACACCGCCCGUCAAACCACGAAAGUUGGCAAUACCCAAAGCCGGUGGCCUAACUUCG